Long non-coding RNA from Melanotaenia boesemani (Boeseman's rainbowfish), 604 nucleotides. RefSeq lists it as uncharacterized. The record is from RefSeq and is a predicted model, not a curated record. The transcript is spliced from 3 exons. NCBI's taxonomy places the organism in Eukaryota, Metazoa, Chordata, Actinopteri, Atheriniformes, Melanotaeniidae.
UUUAAUGUGCACCCAUUAGUUUGUAAGUAUAUCUGUCACAGUUGGAUACUCACUAUUUUUUGUUACAGCUUUCCCUAACAUCAUUGGGGCAGUGGAUUGCACACACAUAAGAAUCAGACGCCCCUCAGGUGAACAUGAGGGAGAUUACAUUAACAGGAAAUCCUUCCACAGCAUCAAUGUUCAGAUGAUCUGUGAUGCUGACUGCCUUGUGAGCAAUUUAGAGGCAAAGUGGCCUGGCUCAGUGCAUGACUCUAGAGUCUUUUGGGCUAGUCCAAUUUAUGAGAGACUUUCACAAGGUGAAUUCUCUGGUGUGCUGCUGGGAGAUAAAGGAUACGCCUGUGAGUCAUUCCUCUUGACUCCCCUUGCGGAUCCCCAAACCCCACCACAGCAGGCCUACAACCAUGCACACACCAAGACAAGGGCUCGAAUCGAGAUGACCUUCGGCCUUCUGAAAUCUCGGUUUCAGUGCCUGCACCACCUGAGGAUUUCCCCGGACAGAGCCUGUGAUGUUAUUGCUGCAUGCGUAGUACUGCAUAACAUUGCAGGCCUAAGAAAGGAGAGACCCCCCCCGAGUGGCUGUUGAUGUUGACUGGGAAAAUGCUCC